RNAcentral lists this ribosomal RNA (432 nucleotides) under uncultured bacterium. RNAcentral describes it as "partial 16S ribosomal RNA". It matches the Rfam family "Bacterial small subunit ribosomal RNA", at positions 29 to 506 of the family's 1533-position model. The record is from RNAcentral.
AACGAACGCUGGCGGCAUGCCUAACACAUGCAAGUCGAACGAGACCUUCGGGUCUAGUGGCGCACGGGUGCGUAACGCGUGGGAACCUGCCCUUAGGUUCGGAAUAACUCCCCGAAAGGGGUGCUAAUACCGGAUAAUGUCUUCGGACCAAAGAUUUAUCGCCUUUGGAUGGGCCCGCGUUGGAUUAGCUAGUUGGUAGGGUAAAAGCCUACCAAGGCGACGAUCCAUAGCUGGUCCGAGAGGAUGAUCAGCCACACUGGGACUGAGACACGGCCCAGACUCCUACGGGAGGCAGCAGUGGUGAAUAUUGGACAAUGGGCGAAAGCCUGAUCCAGCAAUGCCGCGUGAGUGAUGAAGGCCUUAGGGUUGUAAAGCUCUUUUACCCGGGAUGAUAAUGACAGUACCGGGAGAAUAAGCUCCGGCUAACUCCGU